CAGAGUGACAGGUGGUGCAUGGUUGUCCUCAGCUCGUGUCGUGAGACGUUGCGUUAAGUUCCGCAACGAGCGCAACCCUUCAUCUUAGUUCUCCACAUUAAGUCGGGCACUCUAAGGUGACUGCCCGGCGACAAACCGGAGGAAGGUGGGGAUGACGUCAAAUCAUCAUGCCCCUUAUGACCUGGGCUACACCCGUGCUACAAUGGACGGUACAAAGAGCUGCAAGACCGCGAGGUGGAGCUAAUCUCAUAAAACCGUUCUCAGUUCGGAUUGUAGGCUGCAACUCGCCCACAUGAAGCUGGAAUCGCUAGUAAUCGCGGAUCAGCAUGCCCCGGUGAAUACGUUCCCGGGCCUUGUACACACCGCCCGUCCCACCCCGAGAGUUUGUAACACCCGAAGUCGGUGGGGUAACCUUUUUGGAGC
Molecule: ribosomal RNA, 423 nt
Filed under: Bacillus sp. (in: firmicutes)
Lineage: Bacteria; Bacillati; Bacillota; Bacilli; Caryophanales; Bacillaceae
Description: bacterial SSU rRNA
Rfam family: Bacterial small subunit ribosomal RNA
Source: RNAcentral